UGGGGAAUAUUGGACAAUGGGCGCAAGCCUGAUCCAGCAAUGCCGCGUGUGUGAAGAAGGCCUUCGGGUUGUAAAGCACUUUUAUCAGGAGCGAAACGCUGUCGGCUAAUACCCGGCGGAACUGACGGUACCUGAGGAAUAAGCACCGGCUAACUUCGUGCCAGCAGCCGCGGUAAUACGAAGGGUGCAAGCGUUAAUCGGAAUUACUGGGCGUAAAGCGUGCGUAGGCGGUUUCUUAAGUCUGCUGUGAAAUCCCCGGGCUCAACCUGGGAAUGGCAGUGGAUACUGGGAGGCUAGAGUGUGUCAGAGGGUGGUGGAAUUCCCGGUGUAGCGGUGAAAUGCAUAGAGAUCGGGAGGAACAUCAGUGGCGAAGGCGGCCACCUGGGACAACACUGACGCUGAGGCACGAAAGCGUGGGGAGCAAACAGGAUUAGAUACCCUGGUAGUCCACGCCCUAAACGAUGCGAACUGGAUGUUGGUCUCAACUCGGAGAUCAGUGUCGAAGCUAACGCGUUAAGUUCGCCGCCUGGGGGGUACGGUCGCAAGACUGGAAACUUAAAUGAAUUGACGGGGUCAUAGCUGUUUCC
Molecule: ribosomal RNA, 587 nt
Filed under: uncultured bacterium
Lineage: Bacteria
Description: partial 16S ribosomal RNA
Rfam family: Bacterial small subunit ribosomal RNA
Source: RNAcentral